GUGCCAGCCGCCGCGGUAAAACGUAGGAGCCUAGCGUUAUCCGAAUUUACUGGGCGUAAAGCGCGUGCAGGCGGCUGAGUAAGUGGAUUGUGAAAUCUCCCGGCUCAACUGGGAGGGGACGGUCCAGACUGCUCGGCUGGAGGCAGGGAGAGGGAGGUGGAAUUCCCGGUGUAGUGGUGAAAUGCGUAGAGAUCGGGAGGAACACCUGUGGCGAAAGCGGCCUCCUGGCCCUGACCUGACGCUGAGAUGCGAAAGCUAGGGGAGCGAACGGGAUUAGAAACCCCAGUAGUCC
This 292-nucleotide ribosomal RNA is filed under the name uncultured bacterium. RNAcentral's name for it is "partial 16S ribosomal RNA". It matches the Rfam family "Bacterial small subunit ribosomal RNA", at positions 505 to 796 of the family's 1533-position model. The record is from RNAcentral.